This 112-nucleotide ribosomal RNA is filed under the name Caerostris darwini. The record is from RNAcentral. Lineage: Eukaryota; Metazoa; Arthropoda; Arachnida; Araneae; Araneidae.
AACGGCCGUACCAUGCUGAAUAUACCGGUUCUCGUUAGAUCACCGAAGUUAAGCAUCAUUGUGCGCGGUCAGUACUUGGGUGGGUGACCACCUGGGAACACUGCGUGCCGUU